GGCAUUGUAGCCAAGUGGUUACGGCGCUGGCCUGCUAAUUCUCAAUGAGUUAUCAUAUAGCCAGUCCCUUCGGGGGCGCAGGUUCGAAUCCUGUCAAUGUCG
Coniella lustricola is the source of this 102-nucleotide non-coding RNA. The record is from the annotation of a GenBank genome assembly. NCBI's taxonomy places the organism in Eukaryota, Fungi, Ascomycota, Sordariomycetes, Diaporthales, Schizoparmaceae.